CCGACCCCCGUCUGGCCGGUCUGGGCCUGCUCACCAACUACUCCCAGAUCCAGUGCGCCACCCCCACCGACACC
RNAcentral lists this transfer RNA (74 nucleotides) under Spirosoma utsteinense. RNAcentral's name for it is "tRNA-Ala". The record is from RNAcentral. Lineage: Bacteria; Pseudomonadati; Bacteroidota; Cytophagia; Cytophagales; Cytophagaceae.